AAUACCGGCGAGAAAUCGUCGAAAAUACUGCAUAGGCUCGGCAACGAGCAAAGCUUCUCGCACGACGAGAGGCGCCAGAGGAGGGGCCUGCGCCCGAUUAGCUAGUUGGUGAGGUAAUGGCUCACCAAGGCGACGAUCGGUAGCUGGUCUGAGAGGAUGAGCAGCCACACUGGGAUUGAGAACGGCCCAGACUCCUACGGGAGGCAGCAGUGAGGAAUUUUCCGCAAUGGACGCAAGUCUGACGGAGCAACGCCGCGUGCAGGAAGAAGGUCUUCGGAUUGUAAACUGCUUUUCCCAGGGAAGAGUAAGGACGGUACCUGGGGAAUCAGCCCCGGCUAACUACGUGCCAGCAGCCGCGGUAAGACGUAGGGGGCGAGCGUUCUCCGGAAUUACUGGGCGUAAAGCGCACGCAGGCGGUCUGUCAAGUUCAGGGUGACAGUCACCAGCUUAACUGGUGAAAUACUUUGAAAACUGGCAGACUUGAGAGCGAGAGAGGAACCUGGAACUCCGGGUGGAGCGGUGAAAUGCGUAGAGAUCCGGAAGAACACCAAAGGCGAAGGCAGGGUUCUGGCUCGUUUCUGACGCUGUGGUGCGAAAGCCAGGGGAGCGAACGGGAUUAGAUACCCCGGUAGUCCUGGCCGUAAACGAUGACCACUAGACAUGGGAUGUUCGACCCUUUCCGUGCCGUAGCUAACGCGAUAAGUGGUCCGCCUGGGGAGUACGACCGCAAGGUUAAAACUCAAAGGAAUUGACGGGGACCCGCACAAGCAGC
This 772-nucleotide ribosomal RNA is filed under the name uncultured bacterium. RNAcentral describes it as "bacterial SSU rRNA". It matches the Rfam family "Bacterial small subunit ribosomal RNA", at positions 142 to 933 of the family's 1533-position model. The record is from RNAcentral.